GAGAGGAGGCAACGAAGGAGCAGCUCUGCUCCCGACUCUCCAUCCCAGAGAAGUCCGAGAGGAAGAAGACCGAGAGAAGUCCACGGUCCCGCCCGGCCGCUGCAUCCCAUAAGCUGCCUGAAGUGACAACCAAGACGUCCGCCGCGAGGUCAAGAGGACAUGAUGAGCCAUGAAGAUGUUGGUUGAACCUCAGACAACAAGACUUAACACAUGGGCAGUGGUUUACGCGUCACACCGUCAAAGGAUCCUUCGGGAGUUGACGCACAGACCUGCGACAUGGGGAGCCUGAACCCUUCCGGUCAUCUUCCCCCAACACAAGAGGAUGUGUUUCAGAUAACCCAGUGGGCAGAACAGCACACACCAACGUGAACCCUCGCUCAUCUCAAAGUAUCACCGGAUCAUCUGUUUUGUAUCAAAAGUCUUACAUGAAAGUAUUCUGCGCAGCUCAAGCAAUUCCUUGCAAAUAAAUGUAGUUGAAUCAAAAGUAUAAUAUGGUCUUCUGAAAUCUACUGGAAGUAAAGUACAAUGGGUGGGAGGG
Long non-coding RNA from Gasterosteus aculeatus aculeatus (three-spined stickleback), 538 nucleotides. The record is from Ensembl. NCBI's taxonomy places the organism in Eukaryota, Metazoa, Chordata, Actinopteri, Perciformes, Gasterosteidae.